This 453-nucleotide ribosomal RNA is filed under the name uncultured Burkholderiales bacterium. RNAcentral describes it as "bacterial SSU rRNA". It matches the Rfam family "Bacterial small subunit ribosomal RNA", at positions 30 to 473 of the family's 1533-position model. The record is from RNAcentral. Lineage: Bacteria; Pseudomonadati; Pseudomonadota; Betaproteobacteria; Burkholderiales.
AUUGAACGCUAGCGGAAUGCUUUACACAUGCAAGUCGAACGGCAGCGCGGGUGCUUGCACCUGGCGGCGAGUGGCGAACGGGUGAGUAAUGUAUCGGAACGUGCCCAGUAGCGGGGGAUAACUACGCGAAAGCGUAGCUAAUACCGCAUACGCCCUAAGGGGGAAAGGUGGGGAUUCUUCGGAACCUGUCACUAUUGGAGCGGCCGAUAUCGGAUUAGCUAGUUGGUGGGGUAAAGGCCUACCAAGGCGACGAUCCGUAGCUGGUUUGAGAGGACGACCAGCCACACUGGGACUGAGACACGGCCCAGACUCCUACGGGAGGCAGCAGUGGGGAAUUUUGGACAAUGGGGGAAACCCUGAUCCAGCCAUUUCGCGUGUGCGAUGAAGGCCUUCGGGUUGUAAAGNNNNNUNNCGGGGAAGAAAAGUGCCGGGUUAAUACCCUGGCGCGCUGAC